UACGAAGGGGGCUAGCGUUGCUCGGAAUCACUGGGCGUAAAGGGUGCGUAGGCGGGUCUUUAAGUCCGGGGUGAAAUCCUGGAGCUCAACUCCAGAACUGCCUUUGAUACUGAGGAUCUUGAGUCCGGGAGAGGUGAGUGGAACUGCGAGUGUAGAGGUGAAAUUCGUAGAUAUUAGGAAGAACACCGAUUGCGAAGGCAGCUCGCUGGGACGUUACUGACGCUGAGACGCGAAAGCGUGGGGAGCAAACAGG
RNAcentral lists this ribosomal RNA (253 nucleotides) under uncultured bacterium. Its description in RNAcentral is "partial 16S ribosomal RNA". It matches the Rfam family "Bacterial small subunit ribosomal RNA", at positions 524 to 776 of the family's 1533-position model. The record is from RNAcentral.